UGGGGAAUAUUGGACAAUGGGCGAAAGCCUGAUCCAGCCAUGCCGCGUGUGUGAAGAAGGUCUUCGGAUUGUAAAGCACUUUAAGUUGGGAGGAAGGGCAGUAAGCGAAUACCUUGCUGUUUUGACGUUACCGACAGAAUAAGCACCGGCUAACUCUGUGCCAGCAGCCGCGGUAAUACAGAGGGUGCAAGCGUUAAUCGGAAUUACUGGGCGUAAAGCGCGCGUAGGUGGUUCGUUAAGUUGAAUGUGAAAGCCCCGGGCUCAACCUGGGAACUGCAUCCAAAACUGGCGAGCUAGAGUAGGGCAGAGGGUGGUGGAAUUUCCUGUGUAGCGGUGAAAUGCGUAGAUAUAGGAAGGAACACCAGUGGCGAAGGCGACCAUCUGGGCUCAUACUGACACUGAGGUGCGAAAGCGUGGGGAGCAAACAGG
This 429-nucleotide ribosomal RNA is filed under the name Pseudomonadota bacterium. Its description in RNAcentral is "Proteobacteria bacterium partial 16S ribosomal RNA". It matches the Rfam family "Bacterial small subunit ribosomal RNA", at positions 355 to 776 of the family's 1533-position model. The record is from RNAcentral. Lineage: Bacteria; Pseudomonadati; Pseudomonadota.